Molecule: ribosomal RNA, 332 nt
Filed under: uncultured bacterium
Lineage: Bacteria
Description: bacterial SSU rRNA
Rfam family: Bacterial small subunit ribosomal RNA
Source: RNAcentral
CGUGUAGGCGGUUUGUUAAGUCUGAUGUGAAAGCCCCGGGCUCAACCUGGGAAGUGCAUUGGGUACUGGCAGACUUGAAUACGGGAGAGGGUAGUGGAAUUCCUGGUGUAGGAGUGAAAUCCGUAGAUAUCAGGAGGAACACCGGUGGCGAAGGCGGCUACCUGGACCGAUAUUGACGCUGAGACGCGAAAGCGUGGGGAGCAAACAGGAUUAGAUACCCUGGUAGUCCACGCCGUAAACGAUGAGUACUAGGUGUUGCGGGUAUUGACCCCUGCAGUGCCGCAGCUAACGCAUUAAGUACUCCGCCUGGGAAGUACGGUCGCAAGACUAAA